RNAcentral lists this microRNA precursor (58 nucleotides) under Ixodes scapularis (black-legged tick). RNAcentral's name for it is "Isc-Mir-190_pre stem-loop". Lineage: Eukaryota; Metazoa; Arthropoda; Arachnida; Ixodida; Ixodidae. The record is from RNAcentral.
AGAUAUGUUUGAUAUUCUUGGUUGUGCCACGAACCAACCAGGAGUCAGACAUAUGCUC